GACCCCUUCAGUCAACACCAAACGGGGAUUGAGCCUCAGUGUCUCCAGGGCCACAGCCAUUGGUCAGAAAGCCCUGACAUGCAAAGGGAGGGGAGGUUGGAGGGGUGAGGAGGGGCAGCAAGAUAAGCACAUUGAGGAGGAAGAAGAGGAGGAAGGACACACACAAGAGAGAGAAGAACAACAACUUGGCAGCACUCUAGCUAAAACCUGCAGUAGGCUGGAGAACUGGUUCAUGGGUGCUGCUAUGCCAAAAUCACAGAGGUUGCAGAACAAGACGAGGACUCCAAGUUGCAGUCCAACAUGGAGGAGAUGGAGUGUGUCUGAGAGCCAGCUGGUCUAAAUGUUUCUGAUGAAGGGGAUCUAGACUCGUAAGCCUGCAAACUGCUGCUGCUGUCGGCUGUUUCUCACAAACAAAGCAUGGAGGACGAGCAGCUUUAACAGAAACCGGAGCUCCAGCAGAAACUCAGUUAGAGGAGGAGCAUGUACAGAGGCUCUGAUUGGCUUGCAUUAUCUCACAUCUGGAGAACAUCCCAGCACCUCUGACUGCAUCCCCACAUCUGGAGGAGACACGAGGAGAGAGGAAACACCUUAUUAGAGAUCUUUAGAUCACAGCUGGAUGACACUGAGAUUUAAUGUGAGCCCAAACUACGAAGUUGAAAAGUAACCGAACACCUGGGUGCAGCUGUACUUCGUAUCUCCUGAACGCUGUUUGGACUCCAAUCAGAUGAACUCAAGAACACACAAAUCUCCCCCAUAAAUCGAGCCCACUCUGGUGGUUAAACUAGAGCUAUCUGCAACUCCACAGAUUCAUGAAACCUAAUGUGGAGGCAGCUCAUUGUGUUCUUCCACCUCAUCUAUUUAAAAAGUAACGACACAGACAACAGUUACUCUCAUUUUGGUUAUUUCAAUCAUGUGAUAUCGAAAAAAGUUGUUUCCAGCUGGCUAAAAAAUAAAUAAUCGGAAAAUGGUAAUAAAGUUGCCAAUAAUAAAGUUGAAGCGUUUUGUUGUUUUGGGGUUUUUUGGAUUCAUUUUGUAAUUUGUAACCGACCACAGACAAAGAUUAGUUGGAAGAGGUAUUAACUGGCAGUAAUCCUCUUCGGCUAAAUCAGCACAAUACUAUCAUAGGAAUGAUUUCUCAGCUUGGGAGAUUCCAGCCCUCCAAGGAGCACAUGAAUGCAACCGUGCAUGCACUCUUAUUAUUAAAGCAAAUUAAUCACAUUUUUGAGGUUCAAGAC
This is a long non-coding RNA of Oreochromis aureus, 1235 nucleotides long. RefSeq lists it as uncharacterized. The transcript has 3 exons. The record is from RefSeq and is a predicted model, not a curated record. NCBI's taxonomy places the organism in Eukaryota, Metazoa, Chordata, Actinopteri, Cichliformes, Cichlidae.